Molecule: ribosomal RNA, 253 nt
Filed under: uncultured bacterium
Lineage: Bacteria
Description: partial 16S ribosomal RNA
Rfam family: Bacterial small subunit ribosomal RNA
Source: RNAcentral
UACGAAGGGGGCAAGCGUUGUUCGGAAUUACUGGGCGUAAAGGGCGCGUAGGCGGCCGAUCAAGUCAGGCGUGAAAUUCCCGGGCUCAACCUGGGGGCUGCGCUUGAUACUGAUUGGCUUGAAUGCGGGAGAGGAUAGUGGAAUUCCCAGUGUAGAGGUGAAAUUCGUAGAUAUUGGGAAGAACACCGGUGGCGAAGGCGGCAUUCUGGGCCAAAACUGACGCUGAGGAGCGAAAGCCAGGGGAGCAAACGGG